AGGGAGGGUGCCACCCCUUCUCUCUUUAGAGAGUGCGCCUGGCGGUCUUUCCGUCUCUGGAAAAAGGAGCACAUGGCAUGCUACAAUUGGCACAAGAAAACAAGCUUUGCGGAUUCUUUCUUUGUACUAGAGGAAGCUGUAGCGACCCUGUAUGGCGAGCGGACUCCCCUCUCGGCGACGAGAGCCUCUCGGGCCAAAAGCCAAGUGUUAAUAGCACCCAUACAGGCGGCAGUACCCCACUGCCCUUUCUCAACAUACAAUGACUGAUGAACCACUGUUGGUUUUUCUGACACCUUUGUAGUAGGAUUCCAAGGAAUGUCCUGAAGGUACCCUGUUAGCUUACGCGCAGGAUCUGAUCAGGAGUCUCUUUACAGUGCUGUACACUGUGCAAGGGAUUAAAAAUUGUUUGAGGAAUCCCCGAGAUAGUGGUCUAUCUCUUCCUAUUUUGUUUUACAGACAC
Molecule: non-coding RNA, 460 nt
Rfam family: Aphthovirus internal ribosome entry site (IRES)
About the family: IRES elements allow cap and end-independent translation of mRNA in the host cell.